UACGAAGGGGGCUAGCGUUGCUCGGAAUUACUGGGCGUAAAGGGCGCGUAGGCGGACAUUUAAGUCAGAGGUGAAAUCCCGGAGCUCAACUUCGGAACUGCCUUUGAUACUGGAUGUCUUGAGUGUGAGAGAGGUAUGUGGAACUCCGAGUGUAGAGGUGAAAUUCGUAGAUAUUCGGAAGAACACCAGUGGCGAAGGCGACAUACUGGCUCAUUACUGACGCUGAGGCGCGAAAGCGUGGGGAG
RNAcentral lists this ribosomal RNA (245 nucleotides) under uncultured Brevundimonas sp. RNAcentral's name for it is "partial 16S ribosomal RNA". It matches the Rfam family "Bacterial small subunit ribosomal RNA", at positions 524 to 768 of the family's 1533-position model. Lineage: Bacteria; Pseudomonadati; Pseudomonadota; Alphaproteobacteria; Caulobacterales; Caulobacteraceae. The record is from RNAcentral.